GGAGAGAUGGCUGAGCGGUUUAAAGCGGUAGACUGUAAAUCUAUUAAUUAAGUAUUUUCGUAGGUUCAAAUCCUACUCUCUUCA
RNAcentral lists this transfer RNA (84 nucleotides) under Eucheuma denticulatum. Its description in RNAcentral is "tRNA-Tyr". It matches the Rfam family "tRNA". Rfam says of the family: Transfer RNA (tRNA) molecules are approximately 80 nucleotides in length. The record is from RNAcentral. Lineage: Eukaryota; Rhodophyta; Florideophyceae; Gigartinales; Solieriaceae.